This 2904-nucleotide ribosomal RNA is filed under the name Escherichia coli. RNAcentral describes it as "23S ribosomal RNA". It matches the Rfam family "Bacterial large subunit ribosomal RNA". The record is from RNAcentral. Lineage: Bacteria; Pseudomonadati; Pseudomonadota; Gammaproteobacteria; Enterobacterales; Enterobacteriaceae.
GGUUAAGCGACUAAGCGUACACGGUGGAUGCCCUGGCAGUCAGAGGCGAUGAAGGACGUGCUAAUCUGCGAUAAGCGUCGGUGAGGUGAUAUGAACCGUUAUAACCGGCGAUUUCCGAAUGGGGAAACCCAGUGUGUUUCGACACACUAUCAUUAACUGAAUCCAUAGGUUAAUGAGGCGAACCGGGGGAACUGAAACAUCUAAGUACCCCGAGGAAAAGAAAUCAACCGAGAUUCCCCCAGUAGCGGCGAGCGAACGGGGAGCAGCCCAGAGCCUGAAUCAGUGUGUGUGUUAGUGGAAGCGUCUGGAAAGGCGUGCGAUACAGGGUGACAGCCCCGUACACAAAAAUGCACAUACUGUGAGCUCGAUGAGUAGGGCGGGACACGUGGUAUCCUGUCUGAAUAUGGGGGGACCAUCCUCCAAGGCUAAAUACUCCUGACUGACCGAUAGUGAACCAGUACCGUGAGGGAAAGGCGAAAAGAACCCCGGCGAGGGGAGUGAAAAAGAACCUGAAACCGUGUACGUACAAGCAGUGGGAGCCUCUUAAUGGGGUGACUGCGUACCUUUUGUAUAAUGGGUCAGCGACUUAUAUUCUGUAGCAAGGUUAACCGAAUAGGGGAGCCGAAGGGAAACCGAGUCUUAACUGGGCGUUAAGUUGCAGGGUAUAGACCCGAAACCCGGUGAUCUAGCCAUGGGCAGGUUGAAGGUUGGGUAACACUAACUGGAGGACCGAACCGACUAAUGUUGAAAAAUUAGCGGAUGACUUGUGGCUGGGGGUGAAAGGCCAAUCAAACCGGGAGAUAGCUGGUUCUCCCCGAAAGCUAUUUAGGUAGCGCCUCGUGAAUUCAUCUCCGGGGGUAGAGCACUGUUUCGGCAAGGGGGUCAUCCCGACUUACCAACCCGAUGCAAACUGCGAAUACCGGAGAAUGUUAUCACGGGAGACACACGGCGGGUGCUAACGUCCGUCGUGAAGAGGGAAACAACCCAGACCGCCAGCUAAGGUCCCAAAGUCAUGGUUAAGUGGGAAACGAUGUGGGAAGGCCCAGACAGCCAGGAUGUUGGCUUAGAAGCAGCCAUCAUUUAAAGAAAGCGUAAUAGCUCACUGGUCGAGUCGGCCUGCGCGGAAGAUGUAACGGGGCUAAACCAUGCACCGAAGCUGCGGCAGCGACACUAUGUGUUGUUGGGUAGGGGAGCGUUCUGUAAGCCUGCGAAGGUGUACUGUGAGGUAUGCUGGAGGUAUCAGAAGUGCGAAUGCUGACAUAAGUAACGAUAAAGCGGGUGAAAAGCCCGCUCGCCGGAAGACCAAGGGUUCCUGUCCAACGUUAAUCGGGGCAGGGUGAGUCGACCCCUAAGGCGAGGCCGAAAGGCGUAGUCGAUGGGAAACAGGUUAAUAUUCCUGUACUUGGUGUUACUGCGAAGGGGGGACGGAGAAGGCUAUGUUGGCCGGGCGACGGUUGUCCCGGUUUAAGCGUGUAGGCUGGUUUUCCAGGCAAAUCCGGAAAAUCAAGGCUGAGGCGUGAUGACGAGGCACUACGGUGCUGAAGCAACAAAUGCCCUGCUUCCAGGAAAAGCCUCUAAGCAUCAGGUAACAUCAAAUCGUACCCCAAACCGACACAGGUGGUCAGGUAGAGAAUACCAAGGCGCUUGAGAGAACUCGGGUGAAGGAACUAGGCAAAAUGGUGCCGUAACUUCGGGAGAAGGCACGCUGAUAUGUAGGUGAAGUCCCUUGCGGAUGGAGCUGAAAUCAGUCGAAGAUACCAGCUGGCUGCAACUGUUUAUUAAAAACACAGCACUGUGCAAACACGAAAGUGGACGUAUACGGUGUGACGCCUGCCCGGUGCCGGAAGGUUAAUUGAUGGGGUUAGCGGUAACGCGAAGCUCUUGAUCGAAGCCCCGGUAAACGGCGGCCGUAACUAUAACGGUCCUAAGGUAGCGAAAUUCCUUGUCGGGUAAGUUCCGACCUGCACGAAUGGCGUAAUGAUGGCCAGGCUGUCUCCACCCGAGACUCAGUGAAAUUGAACUCGCUGUGAAGAUGCAGUGUACCCGCGGCAAGACGGAAAGACCCCGUGAACCUUUACUAUAGCUUGACACUGAACAUUGAGCCUUGAUGUGUAGGAUAGGUGGGAGGCUUUGAAGUGUGGACGCCAGUCUGCAUGGAGCCGGCCUUGAAAUACCACCCUUUAAUGUUUGAUGUUCUAACGUUGGCCCCUGAUCGGGGUUGCGGACAGUGUCUGGUGGGUAGUUUGACUGGGGCGGUCUCCUCCUAAAGAGUAACGGAGGAGCACGAAGGUUGGCUAAUCCUGGUCGGACAUCAGGAGGUUAGUGCAAUGGCAUAAGCCAGCUUGACUGCGAGCGUGACGGCGCGAGCAGGUGCGAAAGCAGGUCAUAGUGAUCCGGUGGUUCUGAAUGGAAGGGCCAUCGCUCAACGGAUAAAAGGUACUCCGGGGAUAACAGGCUGAUACCGCCCAAGAGUUCAUAUCGACGGCGGUGUUUGGCACCUCGAUGUCGGCUCAUCACAUCCUGGGGCUGAAGUAGGUCCCAAGGGUAUGGCUGUUCGCCAUUUAAAGUGGUACGCGAGCUGGGUUUAGAACGUCGUGAGACAGUUCGGUCCCUAUCUGCCGUGGGCGCUGGAGAACUGAGGGGGGCUGCUCCUAGUACGAGAGGACCGGAGUGGACGCAUCACUGGUGUUCGGGUUGUCAUGCCAAUGGCACUGCCCGGUAGCUAAAUGCGGAAGAGAUAAGUGCUGAAAGCAUCUAAGCACGAAACUUGCCCCGAGAUGAGUUCUCCCUGACUCCUUGAGAGUCCUGAAGGAACGUUGAAGACGACGACGUUGAUAGGCCGGGUGUGUAAGCGCAGCGAUGCGUUGAGCUAACCGGUACUAAUGAACCGUGAGGCUUAACCUU